GGGCACUCUGGGGAGACUGCCAGGGAUAACCUGGAGGAAGGUGGGGAUGACGUCAAAUCAUCAUGCCCCUUAUGACUUGGGCUACACACGUGCUACAAUGGCGUAAACAAAGGGAAGCGAAGGAGUGAUCCGGAGCAAAUCUCAAAAAUCACUUCUCAGUUCGGAUUGUAGUCUGCAACUCGCCUACAUGAAGCUGGAAUCGCUAGU
Molecule: ribosomal RNA, 207 nt
Filed under: Clostridium sp. enrichment culture clone BH24
Lineage: Bacteria; Bacillati; Bacillota; Clostridia; Eubacteriales; Clostridiaceae
Description: partial 16S ribosomal RNA
Rfam family: Bacterial small subunit ribosomal RNA
Source: RNAcentral